This is a non-coding RNA of Larimichthys crocea (large yellow croaker), 64 nucleotides long. The record is from Rfam. Lineage: Eukaryota; Metazoa; Chordata; Actinopteri; Sciaenidae.
GCCAGCUAAUGAUGACCUGCACUAAAACCCAAAACUGGGGAGUGCAGGCCUGAUGUCACCUGGC